GUGUCAGCCGCCGCGGUAAUACGGAGGGGGCAAGCGUUGUUCGGAAUCAUUGGGCGUAAAGAGUAUGUAGGCGGCUAUUUAAGUCAGACGUGUAAGCCCACGGCUCAACCGUGGAAUUGCGUUUGAAACUAUUUAGCUUGAGUGCAGGAGAGGAAGGCGGAAUUCCCAGUGUAGCGGUGAAAUGCAUUGAUAUUGGGAAGAACACCGGUGGCGAAGGCGGCCUUCUGGUCUGACACUGACGCUGAGAUACGAAAGCCAGGGGAGCGAACGGGAUUAGAUACCCCGGUAGUCCUGGCCGUAAACGAUGGGCACUAGGUGCGGGAGGUAUUGAUCCCUUCCGUGUCGCAGCUAACGCAUUAAGUGCCCCGCCUGGGGAGUACGGUCGCAAGGCUGAAACUCAAAUGAAUUGACGG
RNAcentral lists this ribosomal RNA (413 nucleotides) under uncultured bacterium. RNAcentral describes it as "bacterial SSU rRNA". It matches the Rfam family "Bacterial small subunit ribosomal RNA", at positions 505 to 916 of the family's 1533-position model. The record is from RNAcentral.